This 484-nucleotide ribosomal RNA is filed under the name uncultured bacterium. Its description in RNAcentral is "bacterial SSU rRNA". It matches the Rfam family "Bacterial small subunit ribosomal RNA", at positions 30 to 507 of the family's 1533-position model. The record is from RNAcentral.
AUUGAACGCUGGCGGCAUGCUUUACACAUGCAAGUCGAACGUGAGAGGAUAGCAAUAUUCUUGAAAGUGGCGCACGGGUGAGUAAUACGUAGGUAACCUGCCCUGGAGUGGGGGAUAACAACUAGAAAUGGUUGCUAAUACCGCAUGAAGCCAAGACACUGGGAAGUGACUUGGUAAAAACUCUGGUGCUUCAGGAGGGGCCUACGGCCGAUUAGCUAGUUGGCGGGGUAAGAGCCCACCAAGGCAGUGAUCGGUAGCUGGUCUGAGAGGACGAUCAGCCACACUGGAACUGAGACACGGUCCAGACUCCUACGGGAGGCAGCAGUAGGGAAUAUUGGACAAUGGGCGCAAGCCUGAUCCAGCCAUGCCGCGUGAGUGAAGAAGGCCCUCGGGUUGUAAAGCACUUUCAAUAGGAAGGAAUACCUAUCCAUUAAUACUGGGUAGACUGACAUUACCUAUACAAGAAGCACCGGCUAACUCCGUG